Molecule: ribosomal RNA, 243 nt
Filed under: uncultured bacterium
Lineage: Bacteria
Description: partial 16S ribosomal RNA
Rfam family: Bacterial small subunit ribosomal RNA
Source: RNAcentral
UACAGAGGUCUCAAGCGUUGUUCGGAUUCAUUGGGCGUAAAGGGUGUGUAGGUGGCGCCGUAAGUCGGGUGUGAAAUUUCGGAGCUUAACUCCGAAACUGCAUUCGAUACUGCGGUGCUUGAGGACUGGAGAGGAGACUGGAAUUCAUGGUGUAGCAGUGAAAUGCGUAGAGAUCAUGAGGAAGACCAGUGGCGAAGGCGGGUCUCUGGACAGUUCCUGACACUGAGACACGAAGGCCAGGGG